GCUCCUAGGAGCUGCCACCAGGGGACGGCCACGGCAGAAGAGUUUCCAACUGUAACGCAUCACAGCAAUGCUAGGGAUGCUAACACAGGCCUCCCCACAGAGCAGCAGAGGGCAGAGGGUGGCGUGCGGCCCUGCAUCGCAUCAAAUCAGCUGCCCCAUCACAGCCGUUCCCACGCCCGUCAUUCUGGGCGAAGGAGAACCUCGGGUGGCAGGCAGCACAGCGGGGGAGGCGGCGGUGCCAGGCCAGGAGGAAUCUGGCGAUGACAUUUACCGUCUGGCGAGGGAGCAGCCGUGGGUGGUGGCAGCAACUCAUCAAGCGGCGUGGAGGAGGGAGCCACCAGGGUGGACCACGCCUACAGCCUGCACGUCACCGCCCGCCAUGCACUAAGGGCUGUGGGCGCGCAUGACCGCCAACCAAAGACUCAGCCCGGAGGAAGAGCCAGGCCAGCACCACCACAGGGACAGAGGACGAGGAGGAGAGUGUUCCAACGCUGCUCCAACUCAAGGUUCAUAGGCCACACGCUGAGCCCUGCCAAGAUGUCCUGCCAGGUGGUCGGCCUCCACCCCUACACCUCCCACUGGUUCCUCCUGCUGCCCCACUACAAGGAUGUGCCAAGUAUGCCCUCCAGCCUGCAGUCCUUGAAUGGUGAGUGCAGUAACGUGCCCCCAUGCCUCACCCACCCUUGCCUUCAUGUCACCUGGCAAUGCAACUCUGCCUCAGACUCCAGUAAUUUAUCUUCACCCACCCUGCUGCCAGCAUUUGUUAGGAUAUAGG
This is a long non-coding RNA of Eriocheir sinensis (Chinese mitten crab), 775 nucleotides long. RefSeq lists it as uncharacterized. The transcript is spliced from 3 exons. The record is from RefSeq and is a predicted model, not a curated record. NCBI's taxonomy places the organism in Eukaryota, Metazoa, Arthropoda, Malacostraca, Decapoda, Varunidae.